Molecule: ribosomal RNA, 468 nt
Filed under: uncultured bacterium
Lineage: Bacteria
Description: partial 16S ribosomal RNA
Rfam family: Bacterial small subunit ribosomal RNA
Source: RNAcentral
GACGAACGCUGGCGGCGUGCUUAACACAUGCAAGUCGAACGGAAAGACCCUGCUUUUGUUGGGUGCUCGAGUGGCGAACGGGUGAGUAACACGUGAGUAACCUGCCCUUGACUUUGUGAUAACUUCACGAAACUGGGGCUAAUACCCGAUAUGAUCUCCUGCUGCAUGGUGUGGGUUGGAAAGUUUCGGCGGUUGUGGAUGGACUCGCGGCUUAUCAGCUGGUUUGUGGGGUAGUGGCUUACCAAGGCUUUGACGGGUAGCCGGCCUGAGAGGGUUACCGGCCACAUUGGGACUGAGAUACGGCCCAGACUCCUACGGGAGGCAGCAGUGGGGAAUAUUGCACAAUGGGCGGAAGCCUGAUGCGGAAACGCCGCGAGCGGGAUGCCGGCCUUCGGGUUGUAAACCGCUUUCGCACGUGACGAAGCGUGCGUGACGGUAAUGGGUAAAGAAGCACCGGCUAACUACGUG